RNAcentral lists this transfer RNA (84 nucleotides) under Acidimicrobiia bacterium. RNAcentral describes it as "tRNA-Leu". It matches the Rfam family "tRNA". Rfam says of the family: Transfer RNA (tRNA) molecules are approximately 80 nucleotides in length. Their secondary structure includes four short double-helical elements and three loops (D, anti-codon, and T loops). The record is from RNAcentral. Lineage: Bacteria; Bacillati; Actinomycetota; Acidimicrobiia.
GCCGGGGUGGCGGAAUUGGCAGACGCGCCGGACUCAAAAUCCGGUUCCCGCAAGGGAGUGAGGGUUCGAGUCCCUCCCUCGGCA